Long non-coding RNA from Haplochromis burtoni (Burton's mouthbrooder), 781 nucleotides. RefSeq lists it as uncharacterized. Lineage: Eukaryota; Metazoa; Chordata; Actinopteri; Cichliformes; Cichlidae. The transcript has 2 exons. The record is from RefSeq and is a predicted model, not a curated record.
CCCUGUAGCAUUUCAAACUAACAAAUUAUUUCAUUAUAGUAAUGGAUGCUAAUUUGUGUUCUCUGCACUGUGAAGAUCAUAUAUGAUGCUGCCAACAUUAUCACAAAUGUGGAAGCCAAGUGGCCAGGCUCUGUCCAUGACUCACAAAUAUUCCGUGAAUGUACACUGAGCACAAAAUUUGGACAUGGAGAGUUCACUGGCUACUUGCUUGGUGAUAGGGGGUAUCCAUGUUUACCCUAUUUGCUUACCCCUUACCCUGACCCUGAACCGGGCCCACAGCAGCGAUAUAAUCUGGCUAAUUGCAGGACAAGAGCCAGAAUUGAAAUGACUAUCGGAAUGCUUAAGGCCCGGUUCCAGUGCCUGCAAAGACUCAGGGUCACCCCAGAAAGGGCAUGUGACAUUAUUGUGGCAUGUGUGAUUCUUCACAACAUUGCCACAAUUAGAGGAGAACACUGUCCUUCUGAACCAAACAUCAGCAGUGAUCCAAACCAUGAACAUCCUGACCCUCCCACGGACAUACAAGAUGGAAGCGCAGUCAGAGACACCAUAUGUCACAAUCAUUUCUUUUGACCCAUCACCUCAACAUGUUGAAAGAAGAAUAAACAGAUUUUUGUUCAACUGGCUUUAUUGGUCGCCUGUGUUUCCUGUACACAAAGUAUUAAAAGAUGUAAACCUCAUAAAGUGUCUCUGUUGCUUCCUCCUCUGUAACAGCUGUCAAUGUUUCUUCAUUAUUUUCCUGUAGUAAAGAAAUAAACAACAUUGCUGUUCUACUGUAAACUCA